UGGUACUUGAAUCUGACUUUAAACCGGUUUAACACAAACAUACAAUUACAAUAAUCAAUACCAGGGUACAUGUAUCAUGCUGGAAAAUUACGAAUGUGUCAGACGAAUUAUUUUGUUUUUCAUAGAAGAUAAACAAAAUCAUCGAGCUUUGCAGAACGAUGAAUCAGAAUGACUGAAUGACACUAAGUUUUGCAAAAUGGAUAUAUCCCUAACUUCCAUGGCCUUCGACAUAUUUGAGUGGGAUCCUGAAACAACCUCUGACACAACAACUUAAUUUACAAGAACAACCCUGCGUAUAAGAACUACAAUACUUCUGACAAAAACAAACAAAAGCAACUCCAGAUUUAAGAACAACUCUGAUUACUAGAACAUGAACACCAACCCCAUCUUCAAGAACAACAACUUCAACCCCAGAACAUCAACACUUCCUGCAGGGACAACUACAAAAACAUCGGCUUCAAGAACAAAUUCAUCCUAAACACAAACAUCAGCAACAACAGCUACCCGAAUAAAACUACUCGAACUACAAGAACACCAGCAACACACUCUUUAAGAACACCAGCAUCAUCAUCUUCUUCUAGACUUGCAAAUGCAACAAACACCAAAGACAAAGUUGAAUGGCGAACUUCAAUGGAGAGGACAGAGUAAUGGCAAAAAGAGGAUCAUAUUUUAAAGAGAGGAGGAAGAGGGAUAUGUAAAGAGUGUUCUGAGGCCAGGAUAUCAGCAGUGCGUUCAGUCAGGCGAGUGUUUACAAAAUGCUCGCAAACGUUUUGUUUUGUAUCUCUGUUGCAACGCAGCGCAUAUACGUUAAGCGGGAAACCAAACAGCAAACGUUCGCCGCAAACAUCUUUACUGA
Molecule: long non-coding RNA, 856 nt
Organism: Mya arenaria
Lineage: Eukaryota; Metazoa; Mollusca; Bivalvia; Myida; Myidae
Exons: 3
Source: RefSeq, a predicted model, not a curated record